ACUCCUACGGGAGGCAGCAGUGGGGAAUUUUGGACAAUGGGCGAAAGCCUGAUCCAGCCAUGCCGCGUGCAGGAUGAAGGCCUUCGGGUUGUAAACUGCUUUUGUACGGAACGAAAAGACUCUGGUUAAUACCUGGGGUCCAUGACGGUACCGUAAGAAUAAGCACCGGCUAACUACGUGCCAGCAGCCGCGGUAAUACGUAGGGUGCAAGCGUUAAUCGGAAUUACUGGGCGUAAAGCGUGCGCAGGCGGUUAUAUAAGACAGAUGUGAAAU
This 273-nucleotide ribosomal RNA is filed under the name uncultured bacterium. Its description in RNAcentral is "partial 16S ribosomal RNA". It matches the Rfam family "Bacterial small subunit ribosomal RNA", at positions 335 to 600 of the family's 1533-position model. The record is from RNAcentral.